Molecule: ribosomal RNA, 463 nt
Filed under: uncultured bacterium
Lineage: Bacteria
Description: partial 16S ribosomal RNA
Rfam family: Bacterial small subunit ribosomal RNA
Source: RNAcentral
CUACGGGGUGCAGCAGUGGGGAAUAUUGCACAAUGGGCGCAAGCCUGAUGCAGCCAUGCCGCGUGUAUGAAGAAGGCCUUCGGGUUGUAAAGUACUUUCAGCGGGGAGGAAGGGAGUAAAGUUAAUACCUUUGCUCAUUGACGUUACCCGCAGAAGAAGCACCGGCUAACUCCGUGCCAGCAGCCGCGGUAAUACGGAGGGUGCAAGCGUUAAUCGGAAUUACUGGGCGUAAAGCGCACGCAGGCGGUUUGUUAAGUCAGAUGUGAAAUCCCCGGGCUCAACCUGGGAACUGCAUCUGAUACUGGCAAGCAUGAGUCUCGUAGAGGGGGGUAGAAUUCCAGGUGUAGCGGUGAAAUGCGUAGAGAUCUGGAGGAAUACCGGUGGCGAAGGCGGCCCCCUGGACGAAGACUGACGCUCAGGUGCGAAAGCGUGGGGAGCAAACAGGAUUAGAUACCCCGGUGUC